Molecule: ribosomal RNA, 253 nt
Filed under: uncultured bacterium
Lineage: Bacteria
Description: partial 16S ribosomal RNA
Rfam family: Bacterial small subunit ribosomal RNA
Source: RNAcentral
UACGUAGGGUGCGAGCGUUGUCCGGAAUUACUGGGCGUAAAGAGCUCGUAGGUGGUUUGUCGCGUUGUCCGUGAAAACUCACAGCUUAACUGUGGGCGUGCGGGCGAUACGGGCAGACUGGAGUACUGCAGGGGAGACUGGAAUUCCUGGUGUAGCGGUGGAAUGCGCAGAUAUCAGGAGGAACACCGGUGGCGAAGGCGGAUCUCUGGGCCAUUACUGACGCUGAGGAGCGAAAGCGUGGGGAGCGAACCGG